This 1279-nucleotide ribosomal RNA is filed under the name human gut metagenome. RNAcentral's name for it is "bacterial LSU rRNA". It matches the Rfam family "Bacterial large subunit ribosomal RNA", at positions 673 to 1973 of the family's 2925-position model. The record is from RNAcentral.
GAAACCAAGUCUGAAUAGGGCGAGUUUAGUCACUUUCAAUAGACCCGAAACCGGGUGACCUACCCAUGGGCAGGAUGAAGUUACCGUAAAAGGUAAUGGAGGUCCGAACUCACAUCUGUUGAAAAAGGUGGAGAUGACCUGUGGGUAGCGGAGAAAUUCCAAUCGAACCCGGAGAUAGCUGGUUCUCCUCGAAAUAGCUUUAGGGCUAGCGUUGUUUAGAGUCUAAUGGAGGUAAAGCACUGAAUUGCCUAGGGGGCCCACAAGCUUACCGAAGCAUAUCAAACUAAGAAUGCCAUAAAGAUACUAACAGCAGUCAGACUACGAGUGAUAAGACACGUGGUCAAAAGGGAAAGAGCCCAGACCAUCAGCUAAGGUCCCCAAGUGUGUGUUAAGUGGAAAAGGAUGUGAGAUUUCGAAGACAACUAGGAUGUUGGCUUAGAAGCAGCCAUCCAUUCAAAGAGUGCGUAAUAGCUCACUAGUCGAGAGAUCUUGCGCCGAAAAUGUCCGGGGCUAAAACACACCACCGAAGCUACGGAAUUACCUAUGGUAAUUGGUAGAGGAGCAUUCUGUAAGGACGAAGCACAAUUGAAAGAGAGUGUGGACGAAACAGAAGAGAGAAUGCCGGAAUGAGUAGCGAGAUAUAUGUGAGAAUCAUAUAGGUCGAAUGUCUAAGGUUUCCUGGGUAAAGCUGAUCUGCUCAGGGUAAGUCGGGACCUAAGGUGAGGGCGAGAGCCGUAAUCGAUGGACAACAGGUAGAAAUUCCUGUACUACGUAUAAUCAGAACUGUGGGGACGCAGGAGGAUAGGAAAACCGGAGAAUGGAAAAAUCCGGCUAAGUACAAAGGUGUGAGUGAUAGGCAAAUCCGUCACUAUAAGCUGAAGUACGAAUGGGAGCGAAGAAAAGUAGCGAAGUUUCUGAAUCCACACUGUCAAGAAAAGCCGCUAUUGCGUUAUACGUACCCGUACCGCAAACCGACACAGGUAGACGAGGAGAAAAUCCACAGACCGACGGGAGAAGUGUUGUUAAGGAACUCGGCAAAAUGACCCCGUAACUUAGGGAUAAGGGGAGCCAACGCAAGUUGGUCACAGAAAAGAGGCUCAAGCGACUGUUUAGCAAAAACAUAGGUCUAUGCGAAACCGUAAGGUGAUGUAUAUGGGCUGACACCUGCCCGGUGCUGGAAGGUCAAAAGGAGAGGUUAGCGUAAGCGAAGCUUUGAAUUCAAGCCCCAGUAAACGGCGGCCGUAACUAUAACGGUCCUAAGGUAGCGAAAUUCCUUGUC